UCAGGACGAACGUUGGCGGCGUGCUUACACAUGCAAGUCAAUGGGAAAGGUUGUCUUCGGACGGCCGAGUAUACUGGCGAACGGGUGAGUAACGCGUAGGUAACUUGCCUAUCAGUCUGGGAUAACACUGCUAACGCGGUGCUAAUACCGGGUAUACUGCAUAGAUCGCAUGUUUUUUGCAGGAAAGCGGGCCUCUGGAACAAGCUCGUGCUGAUAGAUAGACCUGCGUCCCAUUAGUUAGUUGGUAGGGUAACGGCCUACCAAUGCAGCGAUGGGUAGCCGGCCUGAGAGGGUGACCGGCCACACUGGGACUGAGAUACGGCCCAGACUCCUACGGGAGGCAGCAGUGAGGAAUAUUGCGCAAUGGACGAAAGUCUGACGCAGCAACGCCGCGUGAGGGAUGAAGCUUUUCGGAGUGUAAACCUCUGUUAGGAGGGAAGAACGUCUAUUAUUCGAACAGGGUGAUAGAGUGACGGUACCUCCAGAGAAAGCCCCGGCUAACUCCGUGCCAGCAGCCGCGGUAAUACGGGGGGGGCGAACGUUGUCCGGAAUUAUUGGGCGUAAAGGGCGCGUAGGCGGGAAGGUCAGUCAGAGGUGAAAGCUUGUGGCUUAACUGCAAGUUUGCCUUUGAUACUGCCAUUCUUGAGUUCGGAAGAGGGAAGUGGAAUUCCUGGUGUAGCGGUGAAAUGCGUAGAUAUCAGGAAGAACACCGGUGGCGAAGGCGGCUUCCUGGUCCGAUACUGACGCUGAUGCGCGAAAGCGUGGGGAGCAAACAGGAUUAGAUACCCUGGUAGUCCACGCUGUACACGAUGGGUACUAGGUGUAGGGUUUAAUUACUCAGAGCCGGAACUAACGCAUUCAGUACCCCGUCUGGGGAGUACGAUCGCAA
RNAcentral lists this ribosomal RNA (889 nucleotides) under uncultured organism. Its description in RNAcentral is "bacterial SSU rRNA". It matches the Rfam family "Bacterial small subunit ribosomal RNA", at positions 24 to 891 of the family's 1533-position model. The record is from RNAcentral.